GAUGAACGCUGGCGGCGUGCCUAAUACAUGCAAGUCGAGCGAACAGACGAGGAGCUUGCUCCUUUGACGUUAGCGGCGGACGGGUGAGUGACACGUGGAUAACCUACCUAUAAGACUGGGAUAACUUCGGGAAACCGGAGCUAAUACCGGAUAACAUGUUGAACCGCAUGGUUCAACAGUGAAAGACGGUCUUGCUGUCACUUAUAGAUGGAUCCGCGCCGCAUUAGCUAGUUGGUAAGGUAACGGCUUACCAAGGCAACGAUGCGUAGCCGACCUGAGAGGGUGAUCGGCCACACUGGAACUGAGACACGGUCCAGACUCCUACGGGAGGCAGCAGUAGGGAAUCUUCCGCAAUGGGCGAAAGCCUGACGGAGCAACGCCGCGUGAGUGAAGAAGGUCUUCGGAUCGUAAAACUCUGUUAUUAGGGAAGAACAAAUGUGUAAGUAACUAUGCACGUCUUGACGGUACCUAAUCAGAAAGCCACGGCUAACUACGUGCCAGCAGCCGCGGUAAUACGUAGGUGGCAAGCGUUAUCCGGAAUUAUUGGGCGUAAAGCGCGCGUAGGCGGUUUUUUAAGUCUGAUGUGAAAGCCCACGGCUCAACCGUGGAGGGUCAUUGGAAACUGGAAAACUUGAGUGCAGAAGAGGAAAGUGGAAUUCCAUGUGUAGCGGUGAAAUGCGCAGAGAUAUGGAGGAACACCAGUGGCGAAGGCGACUUUCUGGUCUGUAACUGACGCUGAUGUGCGAAAGCGUGGGGAUCAAACAGGAUUAGAUACCCUGGUAGUCCACGCCGUAAACGAUGAGUGCUAAGUGUUAGGGGGUUUCCGCCCCUUAGUGCUGCAGCUAACGCAUUAAGCACUCCGCCUGGGGAGUACGACCGCAAGGUUGAAACUCAAAGGAAUUGACGGGGACCCGCACAAGUGGUGGAGCAUGUGGUUUAAUUCGAAGCAACGCGAAGAACCUUACCAAAUCUUGACAUCCUCUGACCCCUCUAGAGAUAGAGUUUUCCCCUUCGGGGGACAGAGUGACAGGUGGUGCAUGGUUGUCGUCAGCUCGUGUCGUGAGAUGUUGGGCUAAGUCCCGCAACGAGCGCAACCCUUAAGCUUAGUUGCCAUCAUUAAGUUGGGCACUCUAAGUUGACUGCCGGUGACAAACCGGAGGAAGGUGGGGAUGACGUCAAAUCAUCAUGCCCCUUAUGAUUUGGGCUACACACGUGCUACAAUGGACAAUACAAAGGGUAGCGAAACCGCGAGGUCAAGCAAAUCCCAUAAAGUUGUUCUCAGUUCGGAUUGUAGUCUGCAACUCGACUACAUGAAGCUGGAAUCGCUAGUAAUCGUAGAUCAGCAUGCUACGGUGAAUACGUUCCCGGGUCU
RNAcentral lists this ribosomal RNA (1372 nucleotides) under uncultured bacterium. RNAcentral's name for it is "bacterial SSU rRNA". It matches the Rfam family "Bacterial small subunit ribosomal RNA", at positions 28 to 1381 of the family's 1533-position model. The record is from RNAcentral.